UACGUAGGGUGCGAGCGUUGUCCGGAAUUACUGGGCGUAAAGAGCUCGUAGGUGGUUUGUCGCGUUGUUCGUGAAAACUCACAGCUCAACUGUGGGCGUGCGGGCGAUACGGGCAGACUGGAGUACUGCAGGGGAGACUGGAAUUCCUGGUGUAGCGGUGGAAUGCGCAGAUAUCAGGAGGAACACCGGUGGCGAAGGCGGGUCUCUGGGCAGUAACUGACGCUGAGGAGCGAAAGCAUGGGGAGCGAACAGG
Molecule: ribosomal RNA, 253 nt
Filed under: uncultured bacterium
Lineage: Bacteria
Description: partial 16S ribosomal RNA
Rfam family: Bacterial small subunit ribosomal RNA
Source: RNAcentral